AUACAGAGGGUGCAAGCGUUAAUCGGAAUUACUGGGCGUAAAGCGUGUGUAGGUGGUUUAGAUAAGUUAGAUGUGAAAUCCCCGGGCUUAACCUGGGCACUGCGUUUAAGACUGUUUAGCUAGAGUACUGUAGAGGAUAGUGGAAUUUCCAGUGUAGCGGUGAAAUGCGUAGAUAUUGGAAGGAACACCAGUGGCGAAGGCGACUAUCUGGACAGAUACUGACACUGAGACACGAAAGCGUGGGGAUC
Molecule: ribosomal RNA, 248 nt
Filed under: uncultured bacterium
Lineage: Bacteria
Description: partial 16S ribosomal RNA
Rfam family: Bacterial small subunit ribosomal RNA
Source: RNAcentral